Long non-coding RNA from Carassius auratus (goldfish), 1575 nucleotides. RefSeq lists it as uncharacterized. The transcript is spliced from 3 exons. The record is from RefSeq and is a predicted model, not a curated record. Lineage: Eukaryota; Metazoa; Chordata; Actinopteri; Cypriniformes; Cyprinidae.
AGCAAUAGCCGUCAUUUCAACGUCUGGGUUAAAUAUAGACCAGAUAUAGUCCGGCUAUGUGUAACCCACUUUUAGCCCAAAUAACAUUUAAUCUGGAUAAAUGUAUUUUUUUUUGCAAAAUAACUUGUGAGAUGUAUGAUAUUCCAUCAUGUACGCAGAGUCUAACGUGAUUACAAGUUGUUUGGUUUACUUUAUUUUACAUGUUAUAUGUGUAGGCUGUGCGUAGCCACGAUUUAGCUCGUAUUCAGACCCGGCUAUUGUAGCCCACUUUUUGUCAAAACUGAUUAAUUGUAUUUUUUUGCCAGGCAGUGCAUGAAAUGGUUAAUAUUCAAUCAUGUUCGCAUUGGUAUGAUAUCAAGGUUCAAUACGUCAUUUCACGGCAUGGUAGAUCACGAUUUAGCUCCGAAUUGGACGGGCUAUAUGCGGUCUGCUUUAGCCCACCUGGCGAAAUUAUUGCAAUCUGGGCUCAGAUAUAGACCAGCGACCUAGAAUAUUAGUCUUUGAAAUGUUUUCACUUACACAGCUUAAUAUAUAUUUUCUGUCAAACAUUCAUACACAAUCUACGAUAAAAAUAUCUAAUCAAAUGCAAUUGCAUUUCCCAACCGCUAGAUGGCACAAUUGAAACACUACUGAGACAUGUCUACUGGAACUAAUGCCAUUGCGUGACUAGAUCACUUAAGCCAAAUCUCGCGAUAAACAUUUCCGCCAUUUUAUUUUACACGAGGCAGCUGUCGGAGUGCAACGGGUGAGCAACAGUCUGAGUGAAAACCUUCACAUUUCUACUUCGAUCUUAAGAAAGCCAUACAGGUUUGGAACCAAGUGAAAACGCAGUGAUGACCAGCUUUCCAUCAGCUAUGGAAUGUGAAAUAAAAAAUGCUAUUUCUAAUCAUUUCAAACAAGCACCAGGGAGGGCAGGGGGUGGGGGUUAUGGAUCUAAAGUAAACAGUUAAUUCUUAAAAAUUAAUUGUUUUACAUAUUUUUCCAAUGUUUUAUUUGUUCAUUUUUAUGUUUGAAUGUUGUCCAAGUUGUUGUUGUCUAUAUAAUUGUUCAAAAUAAAUCCCUUUAUAUUCAAUUAGUUUGGAUGGAUUUUAAUUUAUGAGAACCUGUUAUAUUUGAGUGAAAAGAAUCCUUAUGCCUCAUUUUGUUGUCUAUUACAUGUAUAUGUAGUGUAAUGGAUGACUAGUCUAUUCUUGGGCUAUGGUUAGACGUCUAUUAGAUUUUCACUGACAGCCCAAAAUCAGCCUUGUUUUAGCCUAGACCCAUAUUGCCUGUCUAUUAGACGUAUGUAGUUGUUUAGCGGUCUAAUUGAUGACUAGUCUAUUCUUGGGCUAUGUUUAGACGUCUAUUGGACGUAUAAAUAUAGUCGUUCAAUAGCUGUCUGAUUGUCUAUUCUUGGGCUAUGGUUAGACAUCUAUUAGACGUAUAUAUGUAGUCAUUUAAUAGCUGUCUAUUCUUGGGGUAUGUUUAGACGUCUAUUAGAUUUUCACUGACAGCCCAAAAUUAGCCUCGAUUUAGCCUAGACGUCUCGGCUGUGUUUAGACGGCUAUUAGACGUCUAUUAGACGCAAAAUUGCUU